Molecule: ribosomal RNA, 305 nt
Filed under: uncultured bacterium
Lineage: Bacteria
Description: bacterial SSU rRNA
Rfam family: Bacterial small subunit ribosomal RNA
Source: RNAcentral
CGUUGCCUACGGGGGGCAGCAGUGGGGAAUAUUGCACAAUGGGGGAAACCCUGAUGCAGCGACGCCGCGUGAAGGAAUAAGUAUUUCGGUAUGUAAACUUCUAUCAGCAGGGAAGAAAAUGACGGUACCUGACUAAGAAGCCCCGGCUAACUACGUGCCAGCAGCCGCGGUAAUACGUAGGGGGCAAGCGUUAUCCGGAUUUACUGGGCGUAAAGGGAGCGUAGGCGGCCUGCCAAGUCUGAUGUGAAAUACCGGGGCUCAACCCCGGGGCUGCAUUGGAAACUGGCAGGCUGGAGUGCCGGAGA